AGUUGACAUAAAUAUUUUAGUGUGUGUUUAAAUGUCGUCAACCUAACCUAACCUGUCCCUGUCCAAAAGAGGAUAUAAUGCAGAGGUGUAGGAUACCUAUAAUGACAAUAUAAUGUCGAAAGGUUUCUGUCAUCACAGACUGUUUACAGUGCGAAAAGAGAUAGCGUAGUGUCAAAGUGCAAUGUAUAUUGCCAACACAUUACGUCCUUAUUCAACAGCAGAAACCCAACAGGUCGGACAAAAAAUUGUUUCGCGUAAACUCAUCCGCCUACAAAACGGCCCGAGCGUGCCUGUCGAAAUAUACGGUACUGAGUUGGGCAGUUUCGUUUGUUGAAAAGACAAGGAUGAGUGCAGAACUCAAAUGAUAAUGGAUCUAAAAAUAUCGAUAUUAUCGACAUUUUUAGUUCCACUUAGUAGAUGGCGCAGGACCGUCGGAGUUCGGCCGUCACUCCAGCAUC
Solenopsis invicta (red fire ant) is the source of this 458-nucleotide long non-coding RNA. RefSeq lists it as uncharacterized. The transcript has 2 exons. The record is from RefSeq and is a predicted model, not a curated record. Lineage: Eukaryota; Metazoa; Arthropoda; Insecta; Hymenoptera; Formicidae.